This 449-nucleotide ribosomal RNA is filed under the name uncultured bacterium. Its description in RNAcentral is "partial 16S ribosomal RNA". It matches the Rfam family "Bacterial small subunit ribosomal RNA", at positions 28 to 523 of the family's 1533-position model. The record is from RNAcentral.
GAUGAACGCUGGCGGCGUGCCUAAUACAUGCAAGUCGAACGAAGGCUUCGGCCUUAGUGGCGCACGGGUGCGUAACGCGUGGGAACCUGCCCCUUGGUUCGGAAUAACACAGAGAAAUUUGUGCUAAUACCGGAUAAUGACUUCGGUCCAAAGAUUUAUCGCCGAGGGAUGGGCCCGCGUAGGAUUAGCUUGUUGGUGAGGUAACGGCUCACCAAGGCGACGAUCCUUAGCUGGUCUGAGAGGAUGAUCAGCCACACUGGGACUGAGACACGGCCCAGACUCCUACGGGAGGCAGCAGUGGGGAAUAUUGGACAAUGGGCGAAAGCCUGAUCCAGCAAUGCCGCGUGAGUGAUGAAGGCCUUAGGGUUGUAAAGCUCUUUUACCCGGGAUGAUAAUGACAGUACCGGGAGAAUAAGCUCCGGCUAACUCCGUGCCAGCCGCCGCGGUAA